This 232-nucleotide unclassified non-coding RNA is filed under the name uncultured fungus. RNAcentral's name for it is "sequence contains ITS1, 5.8S rRNA gene". The stretch from base 184 to 232 matches the Rfam family "5.8S ribosomal RNA", at positions 1 to 49 of the family's 154-position model. Lineage: Eukaryota; Fungi. The record is from RNAcentral.
UCUCCGUUGGUGAACCAGCGGAGGGAUCAUUACAGGAUUCGCAAGAACUCCCGUAACCACUGUGAACCUUACCUUCUGUUGCCUCGGCGGGCGCUGGUCUCGACCAGCGCUCACGCCCGCCGGCGGCCCCACCAAACUCUUGUUUUUAGUGUCUCUUCUGAGUUAAACAAACAAAUGAAUCAAAACUUUCAACAACGGAUCUCUUGGUUCUGGCAUCGAUGAAGAACGCAGC